This 56-nucleotide transfer RNA is filed under the name Loxodonta africana (African savanna elephant). It matches the Rfam family "tRNA", at positions 8 to 63 of the family's 71-position model. From Rfam's summary of the family: Transfer RNA (tRNA) molecules are approximately 80 nucleotides in length. Their secondary structure includes four short double-helical elements and three loops (D, anti-codon, and T loops). Lineage: Eukaryota; Metazoa; Chordata; Mammalia; Proboscidea; Elephantidae. The record is from Rfam by way of RNAcentral.
UGGUACAAUGGUUGAACGUUUGGCUGCUAACCAAAAGGCUGGAGGUUCAAACCACC